Molecule: ribosomal RNA, 485 nt
Filed under: uncultured bacterium
Lineage: Bacteria
Description: partial 16S ribosomal RNA
Rfam family: Bacterial small subunit ribosomal RNA
Source: RNAcentral
GAGUGAACGCUGGCGGCAGGCCUAACACAUGCAAGUCGAGCGGCAGCGCGGGGGCAACCCUGGCGGCGAGCGGCGGACGGGUGAGGAAUUCGUCGGAAUCUGCCUUUUUGUGGGGGAUAACGUAGGGAAACUUACGCUAAUACCGCAUACGUCCUACGGGAGAAAGUGGGGGACCGCAAGGCCUCACGCAGAAAGAUGAGCCGACGACCGAUUAGCUAGUUGGUGGGGUAAAGGCCCACCAAGGCGACGAUCGGUAGCUGGUCUGAGAGGAUGAUCAGCCACACUGGGACUGAGACACGACCCAGACUCCUACGGGAGGCAGCAGUGGGGAAUAUUGGACAAUGGGCGCAAGCCUGAUCCAGCCAUGCCGCGUGUGUGAAGAAGGCCUUCGGGUUGUAAAGCACUUUUGUCCGGAAAGAAAUCCCUGGAGCUAAUACCUUCGGGGGAUGACGGUACCGGAAGAAUAAGCACCGGCUAACUUCGUG